Long non-coding RNA from Brassica napus (rape), 1067 nucleotides. RefSeq lists it as uncharacterized. The transcript has 2 exons. The record is from RefSeq and is a predicted model, not a curated record. NCBI's taxonomy places the organism in Eukaryota, Viridiplantae, Streptophyta, Magnoliopsida, Brassicales, Brassicaceae.
AUUUUUAAUAAAAAUUGAUCCGAUCCAUCGGAAAAAAUUAUAUAAUAACAACAAAAAAUAUUUUAUAUAUAUAAAUAAAAUGAUCAAAUAUAUAAAAAAACUAUCGAUAAUAUAUACAAAUAAACUCACCAUGCGCAAGGGAUUACUAUUUUAAACUUAUCCUAGUAUUUAUUACUCCAUGAAACAAAAGGAGUACUAUUUUAAAAAAAAAAAAUCUUUCACGUUUUGGUUAACAUUUGCCAUGUGAAAGAGCACAAUGAUUCUUGGAAAGGAAAACAGCACUCAAUGAUUUGUACUCUGUGCCCAAAAUCAACGCAUCUUUUCUAUUGGCAAAGAAACAAAAAAAAAAAAAGAGAAAAAUAAACACACAAAUGUUCUGUGCUCCUUCCCACUCAUCCUCCAUUAUUUUGCUGAAAAUCCCAUUUUUUGUCAUUACCACAAAAGUCUCCAUCAAACCUUUCCUCAUGAAUCUGAAACCCUCCAAUCAAAAACUUUCUGUUUUGUCUUAAUUUUAUAAACUGACAAUGUCUGAUUCUCCAUUUUCAUCUUCCUCUGUUUUAACUCAGAACGUAUCAAAACCAGUUUCAGACAAGCUUCUUGACAAGUACAUUGACGUGUCUGAGUUUCAGUUCGAUUACCAGAAAAGUGGAAUCUGGUCUCCACCGUUUCAACGCACCACUUUUCUUACACCACAAGGCACAAUUCUUACAGGCAAAGAAAUGGCAGAGAAGCUUGACAAUGUUCUAGAACCUCCACGGAUCAAAUGAUUUUUCAGAUACAACAAACAAAAGAGAAAUCAUGUUUCAAACAGAAACAUUGCUCUGUUCCAAAGCUUCUUUGCCAGUGAUUCCAUCUUUCAGAUUCUUGAAAUACUCUUUGUAGUCUUUCUAUGGUGGAUGACUCUGAGGAUCUAUUGUGAAAGGUUCGCUGAACGGUAUUUUUUAACUUGAAAACAAACACACAAAAUAGCUCAAAUGAGAAAUUAAACAUCUUCUUGAUUUAAUCCUCAAUUUUUGUGAAAAUGAGUUUCUCAAAUUUUCUGUCUUUAACUUGUAAGUGAGAAUUAA